AAUAUGCAAUAUCUUCUGUGGCCACAGCAACAGAAAGGGCGAUUUCUUAACCUGCUGCAGUUACAUGUGUAGGUGGAUGCUGGAUAUUACACAUGGUAUCCUUUCAACCCUCAAAAUGGUUGCAAGUUCACAGUGUGCCCGAGCACGUGUGGGAAGCGGGCGUGCACCGAGAACAACGAGUGCUGCCACCCCGAGUGCCUGGGCAGCUGCAGCGCGCCUGACAACGACACGGCCUGUGUAGCUUGCCGCCACUACUACUAUGCCGGUGUCUGUGUGCCUGCCUGCCCGCCCAACACCUACAGGUUUGAGGGCUGGCGCUGUGUGGACCGUGACUUCUGCGCCAACAUCCUCAGCGCCGAGAGCAGCGACUCCGAGGGGUUUGUGAUCCACGACGGCGAGUGCAUGCAGGAGUGCCCCUCGGGCUUCAUCCGCAACGGCAGCCAGAGCAUGUACUGCAUCCCUUGUGAAGGUCCUUGCCCGAAGGUCUGUGAGGAAGAAAAGAAAACAAAGACCAUUGAUUCUGUUACUUCUGCUCAGAUGCUCCAAGGAUGCACCAUCUUCAAGGGCAAUUUGCUCAUU
Molecule: small RNA, 579 nt
Filed under: Pan troglodytes (chimpanzee)
Lineage: Eukaryota; Metazoa; Chordata; Mammalia; Primates; Hominidae
Description: processed transcript
Source: RNAcentral